Molecule: ribosomal RNA, 511 nt
Filed under: uncultured Desulfobulbus sp.
Lineage: Bacteria; Pseudomonadati; Thermodesulfobacteriota; Desulfobulbia; Desulfobulbales; Desulfobulbaceae
Description: bacterial SSU rRNA
Rfam family: Bacterial small subunit ribosomal RNA
Source: RNAcentral
CCUUGCCAGCCCGCUCAAGAAACUCAAAGGAAGUUGACGGGGGCCCGCACAAGCGGUGGAGUAUGUGGUUUAAUUCGAUGCAACGCGAAGAACCUUACCUGGUCUUGACAUCCCGGAGACCCUUAGGAAACUAGGGGGUGCUUCCAUCUGGAAGAAUCUGGAGACAGGUGCUGCAUGGCUGUCGUCAGCUCGUGUCGUGAGAUGUUGGGUUAAGUCCCGCAACGAGCGCAACCCUUGCCUUUAGUUGCCAGCAGUUCGGCUGGGCACUCUAAAGGGACUGCCGGUGUUAAACCGGAGGAAGGUGGGGAUGACGUCAAGUCCUCAUGGCCUUUAUGACCAGGGCUACACACGUACUACAAUGGCCGAUACAAAGGGCAGCGACACUGCGAGGUGAAGCCAAUCCCGUAAAAUCGGUCUCAGUCCGGAUUGGAGUCUGCAACUCGACUCCAUGAAGUUGGAAUCGCUAGUAAUCGUGGAUCAGCAUGCCACGGUGAAUACGUUCCCGGGCCUU